GGGCUCGUAGCUCAGAGGUAGAGCAAUGAGCUUUUAACUCAUUGGUCGUGGGUUCAAUUCCCACCGAGCCCUCCA
RNAcentral lists this transfer RNA (75 nucleotides) under Rhodospirillales bacterium. RNAcentral's name for it is "tRNA-Lys". It matches the Rfam family "tRNA". From Rfam's summary of the family: Transfer RNA (tRNA) molecules are approximately 80 nucleotides in length. The record is from RNAcentral. Lineage: Bacteria; Pseudomonadati; Pseudomonadota; Alphaproteobacteria; Rhodospirillales.